This is a long non-coding RNA of Gasterosteus aculeatus aculeatus (three-spined stickleback), 2333 nucleotides long. The record is from Ensembl. Lineage: Eukaryota; Metazoa; Chordata; Actinopteri; Perciformes; Gasterosteidae.
ACCAUCUCAGAGCUGCGCUCCAUGAAGACACGGCCGUAUGAUUUGGGUGUUAGGGUGAAUGUUUAAUGGCAGACACUCCAAGGCUGAGUGACUAGAGGAGCUUUUCUUUUCCACAAAACAACGGCGUCCCCUCCCGCGGUGGAGCUUGUGAAUCUGUAUAAUGAAAGUGCCACGUGCAAGGGCGCGAGCAGGAUUGCGUCAUAAGUCAAGUAUCGCUGAAUUGAAGGGGUUCGACGGGCAAAAGUAUCUGUUUUGUGCACACGUCAUCGUUAUGGUGGCUUCGUGCCGUCUUAUCUAACAACUCAGGGGACAGAUUAAAAAUAGACCAAAUUUGACCUCAUGUUUUAUACAUCUCUGGCCUUCGACUAACCAGUCAAAAAGUGCAUGUAAGGAACCGUUGACACAUUUAAAUCGGCUUCUUCUGCAACAAAUGCAUUCUUUUAUGUAAAGUACUAAAAAGUUGGACUUUCUUUCUGUUCUGACUCUCCAGACAGAGUUGAAGAUCCCUCCCUGUGAUUUAAAGACAUUUCACAUUCCCAAGUCAAGAUACACUGAGACAAAGGACAAGUCUGAAUUGCCCCCUUUGGCCUCCUCAAAACUUAAUGCAUCACCAAAAGAACACGACGAAGGACAUUUUGUGGGACAUAUUUGUAGAGCUUUUUGCGCUCUUGUGUCCCCAAAAGUGCUGUGAAAGUUGGCGUUGUGAAAUAUAUUCAAAGAGCACCUUUUUUAAGUGAAAAACAUCAUAAUGUGCUUCAUAUUACAAAGUCCCAAACGAGUGGCUCUAUAGCUGUUCACAGGUCUAUAAUAUUGCUUUUUUUAAAUAAAAACUGCUCAGUUGUUAUAAACGCAGAUCCGUCUUCACUGCCUUAAAAAAAGGUUCCUUGUAGUAGCUUUUGAGAGGUGGUUGAACAACAGCCUGUUUUAUAUGAUAAUAUCAAGGAAGUAUUCAUCAUACAAGGACGAACAGAGCUAAUAAUAUUCUUCAAUAGAUGUAAAAUGUCAUGGGCCACCAGAAGAACUUUUCACCAUAAGAAGUCUUCCAAAGUCUUCACAAGACGAGUCCCUCAACUGAGACGGCCCCUAAAGUAGACGAAGUCUGAGACUUUUGAAAAGCAGACUGGAAUCAAACACCGCAGCCCUGGUUAUAAUUAUACAACAGAACAUUGGGGGCAUCAGUUACACAUUUACUGUAUCUCAUAUCUCAUUCAGUCUAAAAAAUAAAAAAAAUAAAAAAAAGAUGACAGAGACGGCGGAUUCUGUUUUCCCAAACGUCUGGGACAAUCUGGACGGGGAGGUUAAUGAGGAACACGCUCCAUUCCCGUUGAAAUGUCCUUGAGCAAGGCCAUAAAUCCGCACAAGCUCCAGGAAUCCCUCCGAGGCUUCUAGUUGAAGACUGAGGUCUUGCCAGGCAGCUCCCAGGUGUGUAAGAGUAUAAAAGUGAUCCUCAAUAAAAGUAAAAAAAAAAAGAAAAAGAAAUGCCUACAUGCUCAGUGAACCUUGCCGGGAUAAGUGAAGGUCAGCAAAGUCAAUUUAAGGUUUUGGACGAGGCAGUGAGCAAAGCCAAAGUAGGGGGGGGGGGCUGCAGUAGGUCAGGGAGGCCCGACAGAAAAGUCCACACACACGCUCUGCCAUUUGAGAUUUCUAUAAAGUGUCAAAUUGACAAAAGGUGUCAUUUCAAAAAGGAACAUCAAAGCGUAUCUGACACCUUGAUUGUUUCUGGACCAGAAUUUGGAUGGAUGGCCCUUUUUAAAGUUUGACUCACUUAUUCUCUUCUUCUUGCUUUUUACAAGGUCAAUUACAUCCGAGCGCUGCCCCGCGUCCAUUCAUUCAAAGGGAAGAGGCAAAAAUAAAAGGUUUCAGAAUGACACCAGUUGUGAUCUGUAGUGACACAGGAGUGAAUUAGAGAAGCCGAAGGGCAAAUAGAUGACACACGCGGCACGAAACAUACGCGUCGGCAGCAAUCCGCUUCAAUGUUGUAUUUUCUGUAUCGAAAUAAGAGGAAACUUGGAGAUGGAGUGGAUCCUGAGUUAAAGCCUGUGGGAAUGGCAAGGGUAGUGUUUAGGUUGGAAAACUGAUACAGAAAUAUUAAAAAAGGUAAUAAAUCACCGUAGAGCUUUUUCUUCAGAUACUGUUAUUGAUCAGGAACCCCAUCAAAGGCCAUGAGGCAUUUUGUCCACUUAAAAUCAUACUCAUCAUUGCUUUAAUUGAAAUUGGACCCCAACCCCACAUGACCUCAAUAGAAAUGUCGUCCGUCAGAGUAUCAUUUCCCUCUCAUUCAUUUUGGAUUAGUUCCCAAUCAGAUAGGAACCCGAUAUCACCGCCGUCACUUG